RNAcentral lists this ribosomal RNA (231 nucleotides) under uncultured bacterium. RNAcentral describes it as "partial 16S ribosomal RNA". It matches the Rfam family "Bacterial small subunit ribosomal RNA", at positions 118 to 350 of the family's 1533-position model. The record is from RNAcentral.
UGGGCAACCUGCCCUCAGCUCUGGGACAAACUCCGGGAAACCGGGGCUAAUACCGGAUACGACCUUCCCUCGCAUGGGGGUUGGUGGAAAGUUCUUCGGCUGAGGAUGGGCCUGCGGCCUAUCAGCUUGUUGGUGGGGUGAUGGCCUACCAAGGCGACGACGGGUAGCCGGCCUGGGAGGGCGACCGGCCACACUGGGACUGAGACACGGCCCAGACUCCUACGGGAGGCA